Molecule: ribosomal RNA, 484 nt
Filed under: uncultured bacterium
Lineage: Bacteria
Description: partial 16S ribosomal RNA
Rfam family: Bacterial small subunit ribosomal RNA
Source: RNAcentral
AUUGAACGCUGGCGGCAUGCUUUACACAUGCAGGUCGAACGGCAGCGCGGGCUUCGGCCUGGCGGCGAGUGGCGAACGGGUGAGUAAUACAUCGGAACGUGCCCAGUAGUGGGGGAUAGCUCGGCGAAAGCCGGAUUAAUACCGCAUACGACCUGAGGGUGAAAGCGGGGGAUCUUCGGACCUCGCGCUAUUGGCGCGGCCGAUGGCAGAUUAGCUAGGUGGUGGGGUAAAGGCCUACCAAGGCGACGAUCUGUAGCUGGUCUGAGAGGACGACCAGCCACACUGGGACUGAGACACGGCCCAGACUCCUACGGGAGGCAGCAGUGGGGAAUUUUGGCCAAUGCGCGAAAGCCUGAUCCAGCACUGCCGCGUGUGUGAUGAAGGCCUUCGGGUUGUAAAGCACUUUUGGCGGGAACGAAAAGGACUGUGCCAAUACCACGGUUCGAUGACGGUACCCGCAGAAUAAGCACCGGCUAACUACGUG